This 253-nucleotide ribosomal RNA is filed under the name uncultured bacterium. RNAcentral's name for it is "partial 16S ribosomal RNA". It matches the Rfam family "Bacterial small subunit ribosomal RNA", at positions 524 to 776 of the family's 1533-position model. The record is from RNAcentral.
UACGUAGGGUGCAGGCGUUAAUCGGAAUUACUGGGCGUAAAGCGUGCGCAGGCGGUUUGCUAAGACAGGUGUGAAAUCCCCGGGCUUAACCUGGGAACUGCGCUUGUAACUGGCAAGCUAGAGUGUGGCAGAGGGGGGUGGAAUUCCACGUGUAGCAGUGAAAUGCGUAGAGAUGUGGAGGAACACCGGUGGCGAAGGCGGCCUGCUGGGAUCUUGCUGACGCUGAGGCGCGACAGCGUGGGGAGCAAACAGG